Molecule: long non-coding RNA, 194 nt
Organism: Heteronotia binoei (common prickly gecko)
Lineage: Eukaryota; Metazoa; Chordata; Lepidosauria; Squamata; Gekkonidae
Exons: 3
Source: RefSeq, a predicted model, not a curated record
GGUACGGUGGAUUCUCUCUGGGGGCCCGCACCUUGCAGGGUCUGCCAACCCCCCAGGCGGUGAACACCACUGUUCAGAAGGUCCGUGCCUUUCUCAGCAUCACUAAGGGAAGUUCUCUGGACAGGCUUUUCAGCAACCUUAGCAGCUUCGUUGAUGGACUGGAGUCCUCUGAGAAUGUCAAGGUCUGGUUCAAC